RNA transcript from Mandrillus leucophaeus (drill), 849 nucleotides. It is a transcript of the gene named density-regulated protein pseudogene, with no coding region annotated. NCBI's taxonomy places the organism in Eukaryota, Metazoa, Chordata, Mammalia, Primates, Cercopithecidae. The transcript has a single exon. The record is from RefSeq and is a predicted model, not a curated record.
GCUGAGAUUUCUGAAUCCAGUGGGACUGAUUGCAAAGGAGACCCAAGGAACAGUGCUAAGUUAGAUGCCGAUUACCCACUUUAAGUCCUUUAUUGUGGAGUCUGUUCAUUAUCAACAGAGUAGAGUAUUGUGAAUAUAUGCCUGAUGUUGCUCAUUGUAGACAAUGGUGAGAGAAGAAUUUUCCAAAGGAACUUGCAAAACUUACUGUAGAAAAUUCACCCAAACAAGAAGCUGGAAUUAGUGAGGGUCAAGGAACAGCAGGGGAAGAAGAAGAGAAGAAAAACCAGAAGAGAGGUGGAAGACGCCAAAUAAAACAAAAAAAGACCGUGCCACAAAAAGUUACUAUAGCCCAAAUUCCCAGGGCAAAGAAGAAAUAUGUGACAAGAGUGUGUGGCCUUGCAAUUUUUGAAAUUGAUCUUAAAGAAGCACAAAGAUUUUUUGCUCAAAAAUUCUCCUGUGCUGCCUCAGUAAUGGGGAGGAUGAAAUUAUCAUUCAGGGAGACUUUACAGAUGACAUAAUUGAUGUCAUUCCGAAAAAUGGCCAGAGGUAGAUGAUGACAGCAUCGAAGAUCUUGGAGAAGUAAAGACGUGAAUUUGAAAAUUUGUCUGUAUUUAAUGGCCUGAACUGGGAGUUGAUAUGGCCAAAGGGAGGCCUAUAUAUACAUAUAUUUACAGUAGAAUAUAUAUAUAUUUACUGUAGUGUGUGUGUGUGUAUAUAUAUAUAUUCUACGGUAAAACUGCAGACCGCCCUUGUCCUCGGCAUUUUCACUGUUCUGUACAAGGCUGCUUGUUUUUUUAAUUGCCAAAGUCAAAUAAACAGGGAGACUGUCAUGCUCAUGCAUUAAUAGAA